RNAcentral lists this ribosomal RNA (915 nucleotides) under uncultured bacterium. RNAcentral describes it as "bacterial SSU rRNA". It matches the Rfam family "Bacterial small subunit ribosomal RNA", at positions 8 to 916 of the family's 1533-position model. The record is from RNAcentral.
AGAGUUUGAUCAUGGCUCAGAACGAACGCUGGCGGCGCGCCUAAUACAUGCAAGUCGAACGAGAAUGUGUAGCAAUACACAUGUACAGUGGCGAACGGGUGAGGAAUACAUGGGUAACCUACCCUCGAGUGGGGAAUAACUAGCCGAAAGGUUAGCUAAUACCGCGUACGCUUCCGGGACUGCGGUUUCGGAAGGAAAGCGAUACCGUGGGUAUCGCGCUCUUGGAUGGGCUCAUGCCCUAUCAGCUUGUUGGUGAGGUAACGGCUCACCAAGGCUUCGACGGGUAGCUGAUCUGAGAGGAUGAUCAGCCACACUGGCACUGCGACACGGGCCAGACUCCUACGGGAGGCAGCAGUAAGGAAUAUUGCGCAAUGGGCGAAAGCCUGACGCAGCGACGCCGCGUGGGGGAUGAAGGUCUUCGGAUUGUAAACCCCUUUCGGGAGGGAAGAUGGGAUGGGGUAACCCAUUCGGACGGUACCUCCAGAAGCAGCCACGGCUAACUUCGUGCCAGCAGCCGCGGUAAUACGAAGGUGGCAAGCGUUGUUCGGAUUUACUGGGCGUACAGGGAGCGUAGGCGGUUGGAUAAGCCCUCCGUGAAAUCUCCAGGCUUAACCUGGAAAGUGCAGAGGGGACUGUUCAGCUAGAGGAUGGGAGAGGAGCGCGGAAUUCCCGGUGUAGCGGUGAAAUGCGUAGAGAUCGGGAGGAAGGCCGGUGGCGAAAGGCGGCGCUCUGGAACAUUUCUGACGCUGAGGCUCGAAAGCGUGGGGAGCAAACAGGAUUAGAUACCCUGGUAGUCCACGCCUUAAACGAUGGAUACUAAGUGUCGGCGGGUUACCGCCGGGUGCCGCAGCUAACGCAGUAAGUAUCCCGCCUGGGAAGUACGGCCGCAAGGUUGAAACUCAAAUGAAUUGACGG